Molecule: transfer RNA, 86 nt
Filed under: Sorangium cellulosum So ce56
Lineage: Bacteria; Pseudomonadati; Myxococcota; Polyangiales; Polyangiaceae
Description: sce_20050509_24
Rfam family: tRNA
About the family: Transfer RNA (tRNA) molecules are approximately 80 nucleotides in length. Their secondary structure includes four short double-helical elements and three loops (D, anti-codon, and T loops).
Source: RNAcentral
GCCGAAGUGGCGGAAUGGCAGACGCGGCGGAUUCAAAAUCCGCUGUCCGCAAGGGCUUGUGGGUUCGAGUCCCACCUUCGGUACCG